AAACGCUUGAAGUCAGUCGUGUCUGCCGGGACUCAGCCUUGCUUCUGCUUGGUGUAUUUUCUGGUUGGAUGGGCCAACAUCAAUUUUGACCGUUGGAGAAAGGCUUUGGGAAUGUGGCACCUUCGGGUGUGUUAUAGCCCUUUGUCGUAUACGGCGGUUGGGAUUGAGGACUGCAGCACGCCUUUAUGGCCGGGGUUCGCCCACGUACGUGCUUAGGAUGUUGGCAUAAUGGCUUUAAGCGA
This 242-nucleotide ribosomal RNA is filed under the name Tomentella sp. RNAcentral describes it as "partial large subunit ribosomal RNA". The record is from RNAcentral. Lineage: Eukaryota; Fungi; Basidiomycota; Agaricomycetes; Thelephorales; Thelephoraceae.